UGGGGAAUAUUGCACAAUGGGCGCAAGCCUGAUGCAGCGACGCCGCGUGAGGGAUGACGGCCUUCGGGUUGUAAACCUCUUUCAGUGGGGAAGAAGCGAAAGUGACGGUACCUGCAGAAGAAGCGCCGGCUAACUACGUGCCAGCAGCCGCGGUAAUACGUAGGGCGCAAGCGUUAUCCGGAAUUAUUGGGCGUAAAGAGCUCGUAGGCGGUUUGUCGCGUCUGCCGUGAAAGUCCGGGGCUCAACUCGGGUUCUGCGGUGGAUACGGGCUGGCUAGAGGUAGGUAGGGGAGAACGGAAUUCCUGGUGUAGCGGUGAAAUGCGCAGAUAUCAGGAGGAACACCGAUGGCGAAGGCGGGUCUCUGGGCAGUAACUACGCUGAGGAGCGAAAGCAUGGGGAGCGAACAGGAUUAGAUACC
RNAcentral lists this ribosomal RNA (418 nucleotides) under uncultured bacterium. RNAcentral's name for it is "bacterial SSU rRNA". It matches the Rfam family "Bacterial small subunit ribosomal RNA", at positions 355 to 786 of the family's 1533-position model. The record is from RNAcentral.